Molecule: ribosomal RNA, 448 nt
Filed under: Tambja marbellensis
Lineage: Eukaryota; Metazoa; Mollusca; Gastropoda; Nudibranchia; Polyceridae
Description: partial 16S ribosomal RNA
Rfam family: Archaeal large subunit ribosomal RNA
Source: RNAcentral
AGCCUUAAGAGGAACUAUUUAAGGUCAGACCUGCCCAGUGUAAGGUGAUAUAUAAAUGGCCGCGGUACUUUGACCGUGCUAAGGUAGCGCAAUCAAUUGGUUUUUAAUUGAAGCCAGGUAUGAAUGGAGUUACGGGGUUUUUCUGUCUCCUAACUAAUUUAUCGAAAUUACUAUGUAGGUGAAAAAGCCUAUGGCAAGAAAAAGGACGAGAAGACCCUUAGAGUUUUUCUAAAUUUGAAAAAUAGAUAAGUUUUCAAAGAUGUUUAGUUGGGGCAACAUGGGAACAGUUGAAUUUCCUUAAUAAAAUGUAUCGAGUAUUUUAGAUUUGAAUAAACUACCUUAGGGAUAACAGCAUAAUUUUAUAAAUAAGUUUGUGACCUCGAUGUUGGACUGGGAAACUGAAAGGUUAGCCGCCUUUUUGGUAAGUUCUGUUCGAACUAUAAUUCCC